RNAcentral lists this ribosomal RNA (491 nucleotides) under uncultured bacterium. RNAcentral describes it as "partial 16S ribosomal RNA". It matches the Rfam family "Bacterial small subunit ribosomal RNA", at positions 29 to 506 of the family's 1533-position model. The record is from RNAcentral.
AGUGAACGCUGGCGGUAGGCCUAACACAUGCAAGUCGAACGGCAGCACAGUAAUAGCUUGCUCUUACGGGUGGCGAGUGGCGGACGGGUGAGGAAUACAUCGGAAUCUACUUUUUCGUGGGGGAUAACGUAGGGAAACUUACUCUAAUACCGCAUACGACCUACGGGUGAAAGCAGUGGAUCUUCUGACCUUGCGCGAUUGAAUGAGCCGAUGUCGUAUUGGCUGUUUGGCGGGGUUAAGGCCCACCAAGGCGACGAUCAGUAGCUGGUCUGAGAGGAUGGUCAGCGACAUGGGAGCUGAGAAAAGGUCUAGAUGCCGACGGGAGGGAGCAGUGGGGAAUAUUAGACAAUGGGCGAAAGCCUGACCCAGCCAUACCGCGUGGGUGAAGAAGGCCUUCGGGUUGUAAAGCCCUUUUGUUGGGAAAGAAAAGCAGCAGGUUAAUACCCCGCUGUUCUGACGGUACCCAAAGAAUAAGCACCGGCUAACUUCGU